GUGUCAGCAGCCGCGGUAAUACGAACUGUGCAAACGUUAUUCGGAAUCACUGGGCUUACAGGGUGCGUAGGCGGUCUGUUAAGUAGGGUGUGAAAGCCCCCGGCUCAACCGGGGAAUUGCGCCCUAAACUGGCGGACUGGAGUGAGAUAGGGGUGUGCGGAACUUCCGGUGGAGCGGUGAAAUGUGUUGAUAUCGGAAGGAACGCCGGUGGCGAAAGCGGCACACUGGAUCUCAACUGACGCUGAGGCACGAAAGCCAGGGGAGCGAACGGGAUUAGAAACCCCCGUAGUCC
Molecule: ribosomal RNA, 292 nt
Filed under: uncultured bacterium
Lineage: Bacteria
Description: partial 16S ribosomal RNA
Rfam family: Bacterial small subunit ribosomal RNA
Source: RNAcentral